Molecule: small nuclear RNA, 103 nt
Organism: Ochotona curzoniae (black-lipped pika)
Lineage: Eukaryota; Metazoa; Chordata; Mammalia; Lagomorpha; Ochotonidae
Source: RefSeq, a predicted model, not a curated record
GUGUUCGGCAGCACGUAUACUAAAAUUGGAACGAUACAGAGAAGAUUAGCAUGGCUCGUGCGUAAGGAUGACAAGCACACGCACACACACACACGAAGGAAAG